CUUACCGUGAGGUAUAAUCUGAAAGAAGCCGGAGGCAAAAUUCCGAUCCGAAGAACAUGAAUAUCAUCUGGCACUAGCGUUGGUUGAUCUUGUCUCAAAAAAAAAUAAUCAAAAUACUAAUCAGAGCAUGUGUGAUAGAAGCAUCAAAGAACUAUUU
Molecule: non-coding RNA, 157 nt
Filed under: Saccharicrinis fermentans DSM 9555 = JCM 21142
Lineage: Bacteria; Pseudomonadati; Bacteroidota; Bacteroidia; Marinilabiliales; Marinilabiliaceae
Source: RNAcentral